This 442-nucleotide ribosomal RNA is filed under the name uncultured bacterium. Its description in RNAcentral is "partial 16S ribosomal RNA". It matches the Rfam family "Bacterial small subunit ribosomal RNA", at positions 338 to 795 of the family's 1533-position model. The record is from RNAcentral.
CCUACGGGAGACAGCAGUGGGGGAUAUUGCACAAUGGGGGAAACCCUGAUGCAGCGACGCCGCGUGGGCGAAGAAGUAUUUCGGUAUGUAAAGCCCUAUCAGUAGGGAAGAAGAAAUGACGGUACCUGAGUAAGAAGCACCGGCUAAAUACGUGCCAGCAGCCGCGGUAAUACGUAGGGUGCAAGCGUUAUCCGGAUUUACUGGGUGUAAAGGGAGCGCAGGCGGCACGGCAAGCCUGAUGUGAAAGCCCGCGGCCCAACCGCGGGACUGCAGUGGGAACUACCGGGCUGGAGUGCCGGAGAGGUAGGCGGAAUUCCUAGUGUAGCGGUGAAAUGCGUAGAUAUUAGGAGGAACACCAGUGGCGAAGGCAGCCUACUGGACGGUGACUGACGCUGAGGCUCGAAAGCGUGGGGAGCAAACAGGAUUAGAUACCCCGGUAGUC